GAUGAACGCUGGCGUCGUGCCUAAUACAUGCAAGUCGAGCGAACAGACGAGGAGCUUGCUCCUCUGACGUUAGCGGCGGACGGGUUAGUAACACGUGGAUAACCUACCUAUAAGACUGGGAUAUCUUCGGGAAACCGGAGCUAAUACCGGAUAAUAUAUUGAACCGCAUGGUUCAAUAGUGAAAGACGGUUUUGCUGUCACUUAUAGAUGGAUCCGCGCCGCAUUAGCUAUUUGGUAAGGUAACGGCUUACCAAGGCAACGAUGCGUAGCCGACCUGAGAGGGUGAUCGGCCACACUGGAACUGAGACACGGUCCAGACUCCUACGGGAGGCAGCAGUAGGAAAUCUUCCGAAAUGGGCGAAAGCCUGACGGAGCAAAGCCGCGUGAGUGAUGAAGGUCUUCGGAUCGUAAAACUCUGUUAUUAGGGAAGAACAAAUGGGUAAGUAACUAUGCAGGUCUUGACGGUACCUAAUCAGAAAGCAACGGCUAACUACG
RNAcentral lists this ribosomal RNA (495 nucleotides) under uncultured bacterium. RNAcentral's name for it is "partial 16S ribosomal RNA". It matches the Rfam family "Bacterial small subunit ribosomal RNA", at positions 28 to 505 of the family's 1533-position model. The record is from RNAcentral.